This 24-nucleotide non-coding RNA is filed under the name Arabidopsis thaliana (thale cress). The record is from RNAcentral. Lineage: Eukaryota; Viridiplantae; Streptophyta; Magnoliopsida; Brassicales; Brassicaceae.
UAAUUUAUCGUGUUUUGCGUGACA